GAUGAAGAACGCAGCAAAAUGCGAUAAGUAAUGUGAAUUGCAGCAUUCAGUGAAUCAUCGAAUCUUUGAACGCACAUUGCGCCCGCUGGUAUUCCGGCGGGCAUGCCUGUUCGAGCGUCAUUUCAACCCUCAAGCCCCCGGGUUUGGUGUUGGGGAUCGGCUCUGCCCUUCUGGGCGGUGCCGCCCCCGAAAUACAUUGGCGGUCUCGCUGCAGCCUCCAUUGCGUAGUAGCUAACACCUCGCAACUGGAACGCGGCGCGGCCAUGCCGUAAAACCCCAACUUCUGAAUGUUGACGUCGGAUCAGGUAGGAAUACCCGCUGAACUUAAGCAUAUCAAUAAGCGGAGGA
Molecule: unclassified non-coding RNA, 348 nt
Filed under: soil metagenome
Description: partial contains 5.8S ribosomal RNA, internal transcribed spacer 2, and large subunit ribosomal RNA
Rfam family: 5.8S ribosomal RNA (bases 1-120)
Source: RNAcentral